GAUGAACGCUGGCGGCGUGCCUAAUACAUGCAAGUCGAGCGAACAGACGAGGAGCUUGCUCCUCUGACGUUAGCGGCGGACGGGUGAGUAACACGUGGAUAACCUACCUAUAAGACUGGGAUAACUUCGGGAAACCGGAGCUAAUACCGGAUAAUAUAUUGAACCGCAUGGUUCAAUAGUGAAAGACGGUUUUGCUGUCACUUAUAGAUGGAUCCGCGCCGCAUUAGCUAGUUGGUAAGGUAACGGCUUACCAAGGCAACGAUGCGUAGCCGACCUGAGAGGGUAAUCGGCCACACUGGAACUGAGACACGGUCCACACUCCUACGGGAGGCAGCAGUAGGGAAUCUUCCGCAAUGGGCGAAAGCCUGACGGAGCAACGCCGCGUGAGUGAUGAAGGUCUUCGGAUCGUAAAACUCUGUUAUUAGGGAAGAACAAAUGUGUAAGUAACUAUGCACGUCUUGACGGUACCUAAUCAGAAAGCCACGGCUAACUACGU
This 496-nucleotide ribosomal RNA is filed under the name uncultured bacterium. RNAcentral describes it as "partial 16S ribosomal RNA". It matches the Rfam family "Bacterial small subunit ribosomal RNA", at positions 28 to 506 of the family's 1533-position model. The record is from RNAcentral.